RNAcentral lists this ribosomal RNA (1099 nucleotides) under Asterfilopsis centralis. Its description in RNAcentral is "eukaryotic LSU rRNA". It matches the Rfam family "Eukaryotic large subunit ribosomal RNA", at positions 677 to 1828 of the family's 3401-position model. Lineage: Eukaryota; Rhodophyta; Florideophyceae; Gigartinales; Phyllophoraceae. The record is from RNAcentral.
AGCGCGGGUGCGAGUCGGAGGGUGCAAGCCCGUGGGCGAAGUGAAAGCGAGUUUAAAAACGAGCAGUUUGGGGCGGCAUAAGAUCGUUGAUCUUAAGACCGACCCAGAGCAGUUGCGCUGGGACCCGAAAGAUGGUGAACUAUGCCGGAGUAGGGCAAAGCCAGAGGAAACUCUGGUGGAGGCUCGUAGCGGUGCUGACGUGCAAAUCGCUCGUCGAACUUGGGUAUAGGGGCGAAAGACUAAUCGAACCAUCUAGUAGCUGGUUCCCUCCGAAGUUUCUCUCAGGAUAGCGGGCCGACAAGUUGUUUUGUGCGGUAAAGCGAAUGAUUAGCGCAAUCGGGGGCGUUUAGCCUUUGGGCGAUUCUCAAACUUUCAAUGCGCAAGGGUGCCGCUGCUUAAUUGAGCGGUACCGGUAAAAACGUCGGCCCUGUGGGCCACUUUUGGUAAGCAGAACUGGCGAUACGGGAUGAACCGUAAGCAAGGUUAAGGCGCCAAACUGCCCGCUUAUAGACCCCACAAAAGGUGUUGAUUCAUCGAGACAGCAGGACGGUGGCCAUGGAAGUCGGAAUCCGCCAAGGAGUGUGUAACAACUCACCUGCCGAAUGAAUUAGCCCUGAAAAUGGAUGGCGCUGAAGCGGGCGGCCGACACCUUGCCGUCUGAACAAGAAUUUCAGAUGAGUAGGAGGGCGUGGCGGCCGUGUCGAAGCGCGCGUGCAGACGCGUGUGGAACGGCCGCUAGUGCAGAUCUUGGUGGUAGUAGCAAGUAUUCAAGCGAGAUCCUUGAAGGGCGAAGUGGGGAAGGGUUUCACGCGAACAUUGAUUGGGCGUGAGUGAGUCGUUCCUAAGCCGAGUGGCAAUUGCUAAUUAACGGCGAAAGGGAAGCGGGUUGACAUUCCCGCACACGGAUGUGGAGGCGGCGACGCAUUAUUGGGGCGAACACGCUGGCGAUGGCGCUGGGCAGAGUUGUCUCUUCUGUUUGACCGCUUGCGCACGCAGUGUGGAAUCCGCUUGUCGGGAGAAACACGCGUGUACGGGCAGAGCGCUGGGGCUUUUCCAGCGUCCAGCUCGCCAUCGACGGCCCUUGAAACUUUGCCUGCUG